AAAUACUAACACAAUUGGUGCAUAAUCAUUUGGAUAAAGUUAAGUCAUGAUGAAAACUAUAUAUCGCUUAAGAAUGAAUCAAGAAGCUAUUGGGUGAGACACUGAAAGUUUCAUUGUGGUAAUUCCGAGUACCUUGAUUAUGCAUGGAGAUGAUGAACAAAUUAAGUGUAUAAUUGAAGGAAGUGCAUCCUUGGCUUAAUGGCUCUCCAAAGGUUAUACUCAAAUAAUUAGCCUUCAUUUGUAGGUUGAUAAAAUAAUUAAGUUAACAAAAGUGACCCUAAAACUGUUUUACAAAUCCGCUAUUAUCACAACAAUCAUCAUCAUGUUAACAAACAAUGAUAACAAUGAUUACAACUACUAGUACCACCGCUCCUUGAGCUCUUGCUUUGAGCCGCUCACUGGGUCAGUGAGGCAAAACACAUUCUUUGUUUCCUUUAAUCCUCACCACAAUACUAUAAUAUCAGAGGCACCAGCCUCAUUAUACAGACAAGGAACAGUUCUCAGUUUUCUUCUGUGGAACCACACCUCCUGCAGGAUGUGAGAUUCACUUGCUAGUGGUGGCGCUUGCACUUUCUGUGUCUCUGGAGUUACAAUGGAGGGAAUGGAAACAUUCAUGGGCACACCUGAGCCCUGCUCCUGUCAUUCGGGUGGGCUGCAUAAAGUGGAUUGUUACAGUGCUGCCUGCUUUAGCCUCAUACUAAGCCCAAAUAUCAGUGAAAUCAUGGUUUUGAUGUGCUGGGUCUAUUUUUUCUGAUACAUAUUAAAGUAAACACAUAACUGUUAGUAAAUUUUAUCUAUGUACCACCUAAAAUAAUUUCAUGUCUUGCAGUGGUCUAUAUACCACAUUUUGGGAAAUACUGGACUAGAGAAGAUGUCAUAGUGUCCUGUGUUGUUUAGAAUGCUGCUUUUUUUGUGCAUUUAUGUUUCAAGUUAUAGCACCUCCCUUCCAGGACAAAAAAGCUACUAGGAGUAAGUAUGGGGGAAAAAGCAUAUUUACAGGAAGAAACAUUUUGGAUUGUAUUUUAACUCAUAUUUUGUGCCAAUAUGGAUAUGAAGCAGUUAUGAGGAUGUUCCUUUUUGCCUAUGUGAUAAAGUUGUCCUCUUCUAGUCCAUACCAUUUCUCUGGAGCUUCACCUGUAGCUCUGGGUAAAAGGAGACUAUAGCCUAAAGGCUCCCAAGUUAGGCACUCUUUCUCUCAUUUUCCUGUUAAAAUAAGACCUUUCACUUUAGUUUCCUUCUGUUACUGCUCAGGGGGUAAGCUUGUGAGGGCAGGCCCGUGUCUGUCUGGUUUAUCACUGUGUCUGUAGCACCACACCUCCUCGGCACAGAGUAGGGGCUGAGUGAAUAUUUGUUGAACUAAUGAAUGAGUGAACGAGCAAGCAUAUUCAUACAAGGACUUGUCAGGUGAGCAGGUCAAAUAUUAUUGAGGGUGGAACUGAGGCAAGGGGAAGUUAUGAGGUAUCUUUAAUGUCAGAUGAUCAGGGACUGAAAUGGGACUUGUAAGUCUUUUGCCCUUUUAUAGUGUAGGUCCUUGAAAUAUGUUUGUGGAAUAAAUGAGUUAGUGAAAGAACAAUGUAUGUUGUUCUCUUAAACACACUCAUAUUUUAUUGGAUGAAAAGGGAAACUUUUAAAGAGAGAGAAACUGCCUUUGUGGCUUCAUGUUGUGAGGAACUAGGCCAGGUGGGAAUGAGGAGACAGAAUGGGCAGAUUUAAAGUGACUUAAGUAUCUUAGAAGUAACUGAACAUAUUGUCUAUUAGUAAGAGUAAUUUAAUGGUGGGAUGACAGGGAGUGCCUUAAACUAGCUCACAAACCAGUUUUUGUCUUUGUCAUAAAUAUGUGAUUAAGAAGAAACUUGUUUCAUGCUGGAAAAUUCUUCUUGUGAGAUCUUUAUUUUGGUACACAAUGCACCAAAACAUUUGUUUCUAUUUACCUUGAAAAAACCCCCUCCAGAGAUAGCAUGUGGGGAGCAGCCAUCUGUUCAGGAUUACACUUCUGAAUUGCUGUUUCUCUGAACCCGCCUGACUCUGUAUAUGUUCAUGUAACAUAUCAGGACUGUUUCCCCCCUUUAUCAAGUUCGUUUAUCAACACCGUCGAAAGGAUGUACUUAUAUUCUAGUGUGCAUUAGAACUGUUAAUUGGCUAUUGCAUAACAGGUUAAACUGGGAACCCUGGAGUCUCUGGAUUCAGUUGCUGAUUGUUUUUACUCUGCCAUCAGACCUCGGAACAAGUCAUUAUAUAUGUCUUACCUUUCCCCAAAAUAAAUAGCUUUAAAUGUUCAUGAAAUUAGGGGCAGCUCAGAUGCUGUGUAGCUGGUUAGGACUCUAGUAGCAGUGGGCUGAGGUACAGUAGAAGGGAAAAGAGAAGUAUGUAUAACAGUAAUCUUGAUUCUUAUGCCCACUACUCCCAUUGGACCCCUAAGACUCUGAUACUGCACAAGUGGAGAGAGACCCCGCUAUCGCCAGGUAAGCAUCUCUUCUGGGUGAAACUAUGCUGCCUUAACACUGAUAUAGACUUUAAAAAGGCUGUUUUCAUGUGCAUAAUCUCACAUCAACCUCAUUUCAAACACAGAGGGAAAUAGGGCAAAUUUUAUUACCCCAGUUUGUGUGUGUGUGUGAGGAAAAUAGGCCCUGAGCUAACAUCUGUUGCCAGUUUUCCUCUUUUCACUUGAGGAAGCUUGUCAUUAACAUCUGUGCCAAUCCUCUUCUAUUUUGUAUAUGGGAUGCAGCCACAGCAUGGCUUGAUAAUCGGUGUGUAAGUCCGUGCCCAGGAUCUGAACCCAUGAACCCUGGGCUGCCGAAGCGGGGCAUGCGAACUUAACUACUACGCCACCUGGCCAGCAUCUAUUACCCUAGUUUUACUGGUGACAAAAUGGAGGCUCUAAUUGUCUAGGUGAUUUGGUCAAAGUCACACAAUUAUUGGGUCAUAGAGCCAGGACCUGAGCUCAUACUUUCUGAUCCCCUUCCUAUUAUGCUAAUUCUUUGAUUUAUCUUGGAAAAGACAUAUAAGGAGUUAAAGGCAUGUUUCAUUUAUAGUUGGUGUGGUGUUAACUUCUUUGACUCCCUUGCAAAAUUUUAUUUGCCUUUAAGCAAGAUCCUUUAACUUAAGCAAAAACUACACCAAACAAAACCAUCCUUACAAUAUAUAGCAUACAUAUAAAGAACUAAAGGGCAACACUCUCAGCUAAAAGAAAACAUUUUGUGUUUCAUUACAGAGCAGUUUUACAGCCCAAAUAGAAGCAAUUGUGAACCAGCUAAGAGGUUUUUCCUGUUACCUUAUUUGAUGAAGUUUCUUUACUGAACCUCCAAGGUCACUCUCAUAUAAAGAAACAGAGUAACAUCUGGAUUUCAAAGAAAAUUAAUCACUUCUUAAAGCUGUCCAAUUACUCUGUUAGAAGGUAUUGUUGUUAAGAAAUUAAAAUGGAAAUACCAGUGCUUGUCUCCUGAGAUUUGGUUGGAGAACCUUCUGGAUUCUAUUCUGUAGUUUGGCUCCUCUGACCUUGGACACAGCUUUUUAACCUUUCUUAACUCAUCUAAAACGUGCCUCAUAGAGGUUUGUUUUGGGUUUAGAAAUGCUUUGACAUUUUUGGAUUAAAGGUGAAGUGGACAAAAAUGCUAUUCUAAGGAAGCUUGGAGGCUAAUGAAAUAUUUUUAUUAUUCUUUUCAACUUUCGUCUCUGGAAGGGCAAGGAGUGUUUUAUUCUUGGAUCAUUUACUUAUUCAGCAAACAUUUACUGAGUACCAUGUACUACACCAUGACCAGCACCCUCCUCUGCUCUCCUGGUGCGGUGCCAUCAGGCGAUGCUUCUGAAAACACGGCAAAGGACCUUUAUUUCCCUUAUGGAAUGUGAGUGCUUGGUGGCCCUAUAUAGGCAAGAGUGGAAUUUUCUGUCUCCCCCAUAUAUAACUUGUACUUUACAAUAUCCUGCCUUACUGCUAUUGAAUGUGUCACAAGCAUUUGCUAUUAGAAGGUAAGCUCCUUGAAGGAGGAAUCCAUGGCUUACUUUUCCAUUACUCUAUUCAGUACAAAAGAGUAGUGAGGAAUUCUUUACCAAGGAGUCCACGAUGGAUGCGUUUCGCAGCACUUGUGUACUCCCUGAAACUGUAAAACAUUAUUUUUGCAUGUACAGUUUUCUGUGAAGAAGGUCCAUCAUUUUCAUUAGAUUCUCAAAGGGGUAAGUGGCUCGUGGUUGACCUCUGUAGGUUAACCACUCUAAUGGGCUUUUGAUGACUACUUGAAUGGUAGAAACUAUAGAAAAACAGAUAUGACCUUGAUGUAUGAGACAGUGUUGUCAUGAUUAGAAGUCAUGCUUGGGGAUGGCUCUCAGUUCUACAACACUGGAGAUGUUAAAUUAACAGCUGGAUAACCCUUCAGUGAUAAUAAUGUAGGGAUGUUGAUCUACUCUCUUUGCUCUAUGAUUCUAUGAUAAUAUCAGUCUUCACUAGAGAAUACUUCUAAUUCUUCACGUACAUGUACCCUCUCAUUUCCGUUUUUGUGUGACUCAGUCUUUGGACUAUUUAUACACCUAAAGAAUCUUUUUGAUGGAUAACCAGAGGCCUACAAAUUAAUCCAUGAGAACCAUGGCCCUGAGGAUAUGUGAAAUACCGAAUAACAGGCAGGGAGCUUGGCAUGAACUCUAGAAAUAAAGAGAGGGUAGAAUGAUUUUUGAGUUGAGGAUAGAAGUAUCAGAAGAUAGGAGUUGACAAGCAGGUUGACACAGUUGCUAAUAGGUUAAACAGACUAGGAUUUAAUUGAGUGCUAAAUUGGGCUAGUUACCUUUAAAUUUAGGCCUCUGAGCAAUUUUGGUUUGUGCUGCAAUUUUGCUACUUUCAUUCAAAGAAAUUAGGACAAUGCAACUCCAGAGAUGAGUUGCAGAAAUGCAAAGUAGUAAAAACAUAUUCAUUUUCAAGUAUGAACAUAUACAGGUUUGUGCAUGAGUAUAUAAAUGUAUGCAACAACAUGCUCGUGCCUUGAUACCUGUGGAGAUGUGGAUCCAUCCACAUGAAUGCAUUACUUCACACAUAUACCAAAUGUAAGGAGGAUUAAAUACUUAUCUAAUAGAAAACUUUCACUUGCAGGGAAAUAGGAAAUAGAGCAUUUCAAAGCAGUCGAAUAUCCAAUGGAUGAGAAAAAUAUUUUAGGUAAUAUACUGAUGCCUCUUUCAGGGUUAAUGUCAUGAAACUUCACAGGGUGUAUAAGUAUCUGAAUAGAGACAGAACUCAAGCUGAUAGUAUCAUACCAAGUGAUAGUGUAGGUGAGAGAAGUCCUAAAGAUAUCCAUUAUAGUCUAAAGGAAACUGGCUAUAUUACAUGCUCCAGUUUUCCUUGGAGAAGUGUGUUUGUUAAAUUGUGAUCACCAACAUCUCCAGUCCCAGUUUUUUAGGUUGGACGUAGGGGGCCUUUAAGCAAGUGCUUCCUCAGAAUGCUUUCUGGUGAUCUUCUAAGCUGGCUGUUUUCCUCUUUAGCAUUCUGCAAAGUCUCACUUAGCAUCCUUUAGCUUGUGAAUUUUUGAUGAGUAUGGUACUGCUAUUUUUACAUAAGUUUUGUAAACUCCUUUGAGGAAUGCAGAGGUACAUGGAAAGAAGAAGAUUGUGGUGAGCUUCUUCCUUUAUUUAAUCCGUCCAUGCCCCAACCUCACAGAGACCAGUAUAAAGCUGUAGCUGUAAAAGCUAACUGAUUUGCCCAGUGUUUUUGUUUUGAAGGACAUCAACUAUUUUUAGCAACAAAGAAGUGUUAGGAAGGGGAGGAAGGCAUACCUCAGGACAGAGCUGAAAUGAAGCCCAGAAUCCUGAAGAGAGUGGAGUGGAAAAGCAAGAGUACCUUAGUGAAAGGUCGCCUAAGUGGAGAGUGUAGAUCUAAUGUUCUGGAUGGUUGUAGGAAACCCUCAAUUAAGAGCUCUGUUAAUGGAGAAUUUAGGAAAUGUUAUUAAAAAUUCUCUUAGCCAGCCUAAUAAAGGACAUCAGGACGUGCAAACUGAGCUCGUUGUUUAAUUUGUACAGUAAUCUGUAUUUUGGGGGGGGGGGUUUGAAAUCAACUAUCAACAUGCUUAUUGAGCAACUAUACUUGUACAAAGCAUUGUGCUAGGAAAUGUGUGUGAAGGGUGGGAGGAUGGCAUUUAAAAAUACAAGAUGAGUACAUGUUCUCCAAAAAUAUACAGGAAGCUAUGUGUUAGGAACUGUGUUGGGUGCUUUCCAUAUGUUAUCCCAUUUAAUCUUUCAAACAAAUAUUAGGAAUUAUAAUCAUCCCUAUUUUACAGAUGAACAGCCUGAGACUCAGAGAAGUUAAAUUCUUUCCUCCCUCUUUUCCCUCCCUCCUGCCUUCCUUCCUGUUUCCUUCUCUUUCUUUCAACAAAGUUGAACUAAAAGGCUAAUAGAACAUGGUGUCUUUCUCCCAAGGUUUCACUUUGUCUGAAGGUAGCAGAAUUGUAGCUAUGUAAUUGCUGCUAUAGCAGAGGAAUGAACUCAGCAAUAUGGGAGUUCAGAGUAUGAAGCCUUCUGUUCUAUGUGGAUAUCAGAGAAGACUUCCUGGAAGAGGACAUGUUUGAGUUGAGUCUUAAAAGAUAAGAAAGAGUCCGUUAGUAGACAAGGAAGAUAAGGCAACAGUAACAGCGUGGCAGAUACUGCUGGCUUCUCGCUCAACAGCCAUUACCUUUUGUCUUUCUGGAGAAAGCCAAGAUUUUGCUCAGGUGUUCCUUUUCCUACUUGAUCUGAGGGAGAGUGACCGUAUCCCUACCUUCAGGAGUAAGUACUGAGUGGUUUAAGCCGAUUAUGGUGAGUCCAUCCCUCUAGUUUGAUUAGCUUAGGGGUGGGCAUUUGAACGAGUUCUGGCCAAGGCCAUAUAAAAGGAAAUCUGCUGGGUGACUUAGGAAAUGUUUCUUGCCCUUAAGAGGGAGACACUGGAAGAGAUAGCCAUCUUUUUUUGUCUCUAGGUAUUGCUGUACUUGGAAGGGAUGUUUAGAACUACCACGGCCGUCUUGUGACCAUGAAGGGAGCCAAUCUGAGGGCAAAUAAAAUUUUCUGAGGAUGGUAAAGCAAAGAAAUAAAAACCAGUGUCUUCAAUGACAUCGUUGAGUUCAUGGACAACUGUGCCUGCUUUUCAAUUCAUGUUACCUGGUGUUAUAAUUGUCUUUGUUCCAUCAGCAGGUUUGGAUUGAAGUCUUCUGCAAUGGCAUCCUCACUGAUAACAGAGCAGAUGCAAAUCAUAGGGCUCAGAAAGGUCACAGGGCACUUAGAAAUGGACAAUAGUUCCUCACGUCUGAAAUGCAGGAUAUUGUGGAGUGGAGAGUGUGAUGACGGCUAGAGAUAAGGUGAAAUACUAGACAAGGGUCAGAUCAUGAAGGGCCUUGUAUGUUAGGAUCAGACAUUUGCACUUUAUUUUGUACGUACUGGGGAGGCAUUGAAAAGUUUCAAGCAAGGUAAUGGUAUAAUUAGGUUUGCAGUUUAGAAGCAUUCGUCUGACUACUGUGUGGUGGAUUGAAGAGUACCCUCUGAUAAGACACCGAGGUCAUUCAGUUCAAGAACAAAUGGAUUCACAUGCAGCCACCUAAAAAUAUUCAGCUGCUUUUCCUGCUGAAGCACUCAGAUGACCCACAGGACAAAGGCACAGUUCAACCCCUUCAAUUACGGAUGAGCUAAAUGAAGCUGAGGGACGAGAUGUGACUGGUUCAAGGUCACAGAACCAGUGACUGAGAGAACGGAUUAGAACCCACUCUUUUUUUCAGCUUCAUUGAGUGCACAACAGUGGAAGCCACUCUUGCAAGCUCCAAUCAAGGUGUUCUUUCUGCUACCAGAUGAUCAUUGAUCGCUGCACUCAGAGUUUCAGACCUUUCACAUGGGCUCUGGAGAAAGAGAAAGGCUGUCUGACUUAUUGAGGAGGAUGCCAAAAGUUUGUUAACCUAAGUCCUGCUCUUGGCUCACUGUGUUCUAGAAUAACUCAGUUUUCACUUCAGCUAGAUAGAGUAAAAUGGGAUCAUCUGCCUGGGAAAACGGCCCUUUGUGGACAGUCCUCAAUCAUGCUUGGAUUCCGCAUCAUCAGCCACGUCAGCAACGUGUCAUUAACCUGAAAAAACUCACCAGGCCUUCAGAAUGCUGAGUGACAGAUGAGGCGCACCUCCGUGCUCUGGCUCUGCCUAACCACACCACCAUGAAAUACAUUGCUUAUAACUCUACCAUUCCUUCUGUAUCCCAAGGUUACUUGUAGGAGAAAUAGAAACCAAGGCGUAUCACUGUGUUUCCUCGUCUCUCUAACUUGAUAUGGGUGAAAUCAGUUUUAAAUUAAGGUCGUCCUCUCACCACGUUUUGCUUUGCCCCUCUGCUCACAUUGCAGCUUUCUGGGCUGUGCUCUGAGAAGUGAGGUAUGAGCGUGGCUGCCCACGUUUCCUACGGUCUGUCUGCGAGUCACCAUCACCCCUCGGGGUUGAUGAGUGCAGCAAGUAGGCUUUCACUGAAUCUCCACUUUCUUCCCUUUUUUUCCCCUAGAUGCUUUUCCCCGGCCCAGAAAGAACUUUUCCUUCUACCCCGUGUCCUGAGAAAUGCCAUUACAUCAUAAACUAUAUCCUUCCUCCUCUGUGACGUAUGUUAAAGACGCUUUGCUCUGAAUACUCCAGGUUUUGGGCCUAUAAAUCCUUUUAUCCUACAACAAAUCCUGGCUCUUGCAAAUGCAAUCAAGCUUUAGCUUUAAGAGUUACUUUCUCCAAAAUAAUUUUUGUUUAAGAAUCUAUCAUGAAAGCCAGAAUUUAAAAACUGAGGAAGAAGGGCAGGUAGUGAGGGACUGGACUGAAAACAGAGAUUGUUAAAAUGUGCAUUUUGAGUGGGAAGAUCCUUCAGCUUCCUUCCAUAUCCGGUUAUCUUUCCUCAGGAAGCUACAGGAGGAUGUGUUCCACCAAUAUGAGGGACUAAACCAAGAAAGAGGAAGUGUGGGAUUCAGGAAGCAGGAAAAUAUGUAGGGAAUUCUCAGGAUGGUGCUGAAGGAAAAUCCCAGGAUAACAGCUGUGCAUUAGGUCCAGACUGGAAGAGAGGAUGGAGGGCACCAGGGAAAAAGGAUCAUCGAGUUGCUUUUACUGUAUGGAAAGUUGAACUGAGUUGCUGUUAAAGGGCCUGGGCAGAUCUAGCUUCUAGAACAAGAUGAAAAAAAGAAUCUCACCAAAUUCUAAGGAGGAACAGUUACUGAUUCCAGAAAAAAAAAAGUUGCACCAAGAAGGACAGGUAAUCAUAGUCAGCCACUUAAUUCAGCAGUGAACAAUAUUUAAAUGUCCAAUUAAUGUAAGCUCUGACUAUUGCUUUGAUUAAAAAAGAAAACACGGCAUAUAUUUAUGAUGGAAAAAUGGGGAGAGGAAGAUGGAUGUGAGUGUAGAGUAGUACUCUCAUCUUUUAUGUUACUCUUGUCCUUGUUGUUUACAGCCAGUUAAGGAUUUGUAUCUGGUACUCCUCUUCAUGAUCCCUGCUACAGUGCUGCGCUCUUGUCAUUUCAGAAGUUCUCUUUCUUCAACUUUCUCUGCCUUCUUUUUUCCUAGAGCUUCAUUUCAAUCCCCUGCUCUUUGAGAACUCUUCUCUACUGUCUCAUUAGCAUUUUUUCUUACAAUUUCUCAGAGGUCUUUACACUUUAGCAAUUUUUGCAUUUCUUC
RNAcentral lists this long non-coding RNA (9617 nucleotides) under Equus caballus (horse). RNAcentral describes it as "lncRNA (ENSECAG00000056145.1)". Lineage: Eukaryota; Metazoa; Chordata; Mammalia; Perissodactyla; Equidae. The record is from RNAcentral.